AAGUGGAGAGUUCACUGCCAAGCCAGGCUCCUGCCCCAAGGGUGUAGUGGACGCACCCAGGAAUACAGGGUGUGAAUGGGACUCAGACUGUCCAGGGUGGCAAAAGUGCUGCCAGAGAGAGGGCCUCUCUUUUUGCACCAACCCUCAACAUACAGGCAAUAGAGGCUAUUGCUUCAACGUCACUGUGACCGUGAAGACAGAUUACCAGCAGCUGAUAUCCAUGGACGGGGGAAUCAUGAACCACACAAGGCUUUUGCACUCUGUGGUGACCGGAGCCCUGGACUCCUCUGACGUCUCUGUAUACUACAUCAGCUCCUGGCCUAUAGGGCCAUUCAGAACCGCUUCAUCUAUGCUGAUUGGUUCCCCUGAAACUCUGUCCUUGUCUAACACGACCACAAAACUGCACCUUCUUCUCAAACACAUUGAAGAAGUCACCUCUGUGU
Molecule: non-coding RNA, 443 nt
Organism: Salvelinus sp. IW2-2015
Lineage: Eukaryota; Metazoa; Chordata; Actinopteri; Salmoniformes; Salmonidae
Source: RefSeq, a predicted model, not a curated record